This 476-nucleotide ribosomal RNA is filed under the name uncultured bacterium. RNAcentral describes it as "SSU rRNA". It matches the Rfam family "Bacterial small subunit ribosomal RNA", at positions 26 to 518 of the family's 1533-position model. The record is from RNAcentral.
AGGAUAAACGCUGGCGGCGUGCCUAACACAUGCAAGUCGAACGUCCUACGCAAGUAGGGAGUGGCGGACGGGUGAGUAACACGUGGGCAAUCUACCUUUCGGUGAGGAAUACCGGCGAGAAAUCGCCGACAAUACCGCAUACGCUUCGCAAGAAGCAAAGUCGCAAGACGCCGGAGGAGGAGCCUGCGCCCGAUUAGCUGGUUGGUGAGGUAAGAGCUCACCAAGGCGACGAUCCGUAGCUGGUCUGAGAGGACGACCAGCCACACUGGGACUGAGACACGGCCCAGACUCCUACGGGAGGCAGCAGUGGGGAAUUUUGGACAAUGGGCGAAAGCCUGAUCCAGCCAUGCCGCGUGUGUGAAGAAGGCCUUCGGGUUGUAAGCACUUUUGUCCGGAACGAACGCCAAGGGCGAAUACCCCUUGGUAAUGACGGUACCGGGAGAAUAAGCACCGGCUAACUACGUGCCAGCAGCCGC